CCUACGGGAGGCAGCAGUGGGGAAUAUUGGGCAAUGGGCGCAAGCCUGACCCAGCAACGCCGCGUGAAGGAAGAAGGCUUUCGGGUUGUAAACUUCUUUUCUCAGGGACGAAGCAAGUGACGGUACCUGAGGAAUAAGCCACGGCUAACUACGUGCCAGCAGCCGCGGUAAUACGUAGGGGGCAAGCGUUAUCCGGAUUUCCGGGGUUUAAAGGGGGUGUAGGCGGGAAAGCAAGUCAGAGGUGAAAACCAUGGGCUCAACCUGUGGCCUGCAUUUGAAACUGUUUUUCUUGAGUACUGGAGAGGCAGACGGAAUUCCUAGGGUAGCGGUGAAAUGCGUAGAUAUUAGGAGGAACACCAGUGGCGAAGGCGGUCUGCUGGACAGCAACUGACGCUGAGGCGCGAAAGCGUGGGGAGCAAACAGGAUUAGAUACCCUAGUAGUC
Molecule: ribosomal RNA, 443 nt
Filed under: uncultured bacterium
Lineage: Bacteria
Description: partial 16S ribosomal RNA
Rfam family: Bacterial small subunit ribosomal RNA
Source: RNAcentral